CAUUACAAAGGAUAUGGUCAAAAGUUUACAAAAUGUGAAACUAUCUACUAGUAGUUGCCUAAUUCUCAACCUUGCAGCCAACUCCUCAACUAUUCUAAAACAUAAUGUCUGAAACAUUGACCACGAAAAUCACAUUCUAAUUUUAUAUUAGCAGCCCCAUUCUCGACCUUGGAAUCAACAUUUGAGCCAUGAUCCAUUCAUUUUUGUCAAUCUACAACAAUGAAAGAAAUGAGAUGAGCAACUAACAGUAGAGAAAAGCAGGUCAACAGAUCAGUAGUAAAAUUUAAAGGAGGAGCUCCUUACAAAGGAUGAAGACGACAUCAGUAGCCUCUGUACGCAGAAAAAGAGCCUACAUUUGACAAACACUUUGAUCAUUGUGUUUUCUUAUGAACAAACUUGCUAUAUGUCAAACCUUUAAAAGAACAUACUAAGUAAGAAACAAGUUACCUCUCUUGAAUAAAAUCAUUUACUAACAUACCACACGUCCUUCGUUUCCUAAGAAAAUUUGUUGUGGUCCAGAAAAUACAAGUAGAUGCAAGAUUUCACCAAUUUUGAAACACUUC
Molecule: long non-coding RNA, 563 nt
Filed under: Triticum aestivum (bread wheat)
Lineage: Eukaryota; Viridiplantae; Streptophyta; Magnoliopsida; Poales; Poaceae
Description: long non-coding RNA (TAES_LNC021869)
Source: RNAcentral